Molecule: transfer RNA, 67 nt
Filed under: Marmota monax (woodchuck)
Lineage: Eukaryota; Metazoa; Chordata; Mammalia; Rodentia; Sciuridae
Description: tRNA.Ala
Source: RNAcentral
GGUUGUGGCUCAGUGGCAGAGCGCUUGCUUGGCAUGUAUGAGGCACCGGGUUCGAUUCUCAGGACCA